UAAAAUCAAAGGAUUGACGGGGCCCGCCCAAGCGGCGGAGCUUGGGGAUUAUUGGGGUGCAACGCGAAGAACUUUACCAAGGCUUGACAUGUUCUCGAUCGCGUAGAGAUACGUUUCCCCUUUGGGGCGGUUCACAGGUGGUGCAUGGUUGUCGUCAGCUCGUGUCGUGAGAUGUUGGGUUAAGUCCCGCAACGAGCGCAACCCUCGUUCCAUGUUGCCAGCACGUAGUGGUGGGGACUCAUGGGAGACUGCCGGGGUCAACUCGGAGGAAGGUGAGGACGACGUCAAAUCAUCAUGCCCCUUAUGUCUUGGGCUUCACGCAUGCUACAAUGGCCGGUACAAUGGGUUGCGAUACUGUGAGGUGGAGCUAAUCCCAAAAAGCCGGUCUCAGUUCGGAUUGGGGUCUGCAACUCGACCCCAUGAAGUCGGAGUCGCUAGUAAUCGCAGAUCAGCAACGCUGCGGUGAAUACGUUCCCGGGCCUUGUACACACCGCCCGUCAAGUCACGAAAGUUGGUAACACCCGAAGCCGGUGGCCUAACCCUUGUGGGGGGAGCCGUCGAAGGUGGGACCAGCGAUUGGGA
This 582-nucleotide ribosomal RNA is filed under the name Micrococcus sp. NASA2-3. RNAcentral's name for it is "bacterial SSU rRNA". It matches the Rfam family "Bacterial small subunit ribosomal RNA", at positions 896 to 1480 of the family's 1533-position model. Lineage: Bacteria; Bacillati; Actinomycetota; Actinomycetes; Micrococcales; Micrococcaceae. The record is from RNAcentral.